Molecule: ribosomal RNA, 85 nt
Filed under: uncultured bacterium
Lineage: Bacteria
Description: partial 16S ribosomal RNA
Source: RNAcentral
UGAAGAGGGCCUUCGGGUUGUAAAGCUCUUUCGAUGGGGACGAUGAUGACGGUACCCAUAUAAGAAGCCCCGGCAAACUUCGUGC